CUCUUUGGCUUUCUCACUAUUUCUCUUGAUCUCUCUCUCAGUUUCUUUCUCAUUGAUACUCGAACAUUCCUCCUUAUUGGGCUACUGAUUUUGAUAUCUCUCCUCAACGCAUUUGCUGUAAAAAGGAAGUUAGUUGUGAUGAUUGUCAAAUGCCGAUUGCAUGGAGAUGAUUGUAUUUCUCCUCCUUUUUGGUCUUAUUCUGGCAGAGAGUAUUCUACCUAAGGGCAUGGAAUAGGAUAUGAUGAAGAGGACAAGGUGCUUGUUUUUCUUUCUUGAAAAAUAAAUGUACCUAAUGAAUCAAUAGCCUAUUUGAUGCCACUGACUAUGAGAUUUUAAGCAAUGCUGAAUUCUUAAAUCCAGGAGGGAGUGUUAAAGAUAGAGUGGUAGCAAAGAUUAUCGAAGAGGUAAUGUGUUCAAGCUCAAGCUAGGGUAGUGAUGAAUUUUCUGACCUUGGAUGGUAGCGACUGAGUCUUGCAAUUUAUGUACCACUCCAUGGAGAGCCACCUGAUACUCUAUCCUCUAGUGGCUCAGAGAAAUGGGUUGUAAAGAAUGAGCAAUCCAUAGACAUCUUUCUCACUGUACGCAUUGCAUCAAUUUCUCUUAUAUAAAUGAGUUUAUUACAGAUAAAUGUUGUUUAAACAAAAUUUUGGGAGCUGUCUAUAACUAAGACUGAAGGACAUUGAAGACAAAGUUGCAAUUUGCUCAUGCAAUGGUUCGUUUAGAUAUUCUUUGGUUUCUUGAACUUAAUUCCUUUUGUAAACUUACUUUAUGAAUAUGUGAUAUUUGGCCAUGUGUUACUUUUGUAGACCUUUGUUGGCUAAUGUGCAACUCAAUAUGACAUUUGAGUACUUAAUAUGCUAUAUUGGCAUGUAGCUUAAUGCAGCAACUAUUUUUGGUCA
Long non-coding RNA from Coffea eugenioides, 899 nucleotides. RefSeq lists it as uncharacterized. The record is from RefSeq and is a predicted model, not a curated record. NCBI's taxonomy places the organism in Eukaryota, Viridiplantae, Streptophyta, Magnoliopsida, Gentianales, Rubiaceae. The transcript has 7 exons.